AUAAUGUAUAUAAUAAUUGUGAAAUGUCAGUUUUGCAAAGUUCAUUGAACUCACUAAUUUAAUUUUUAAGAAUGGUUUCACCAUUUUUUCAUGUAACAUCAAGGGACGAUCAACCUAGUUUUUUUUCUUAUAAGAUUUUCUCCUUCAUAUGCAGGAUGAUAACCUCUUGUUUGAUAGGUCACCCUAUCCUUGCAGAUAUUUGUUGGUUAAGUUGUUUUUGGAAUUUCACCAUAUUCUGGGUACGGGUGAUAUUUGUGAUAUACACUAAUGGACAAAUGUAACACACCAUUCAAUUUAUGUAAUUUAACAUUAAAUCCAUUAUUAUUAGUUACAGGUAAUUAGGAGCUAUCGUAGUCAAAAUGAACAGUAAAUAAUUGUUGAUUUAUUUUUGUACUCAACAAUCCCAUUUGCUCAAAAAGUAGUAUUAUAUCAUUCCUUUCUGCUAUGCCUAAAGAUCGCUUUCAGUUAAUAUUUUUCCUUCAUUAAUUUCAUUUAAUAUUAUUCUUAUUCUUAAACCUUUAACAAUGAAUCCAGUCAGGCAGUUUCAAGAGUAGGACAGUGUCAUGGUCUUAGUAUUAUUAGAGGAAGGAUACAGACAGCACGAAGUAACCAGGAGACUGUGUGCAAAUCACCACAAUAGGAAGGGUUUUUGGUGCUUCAGAGAAAUAGGGCUUCCCUCUAGAAGGCCAAGACAGGGUAGACCUAGGUCUACAGGCCAGAAAAACGAUAGAUUCAUCUGUCACCAGACUCUACAAAACCGCAGCAUAAUGGGAAAUGAGGAAUACAAGUCUGAAAUGUUUCUAUUUCCUCCAGGACUGUACGAAGAAGGCUGAAUGAAAAUAACCUCAGGGCCCGGCACUUAGCUCAUGGACCUCUUCUUACCAUAGCUCUGAAAAUAGCCAGACUUCAAUUUGCACGGGAACAUGUGAAUUGGAUAUUGGAAGAUUGGGAAUGAGUUCUCUCUAUUGAUGAGAUUAGAGUUGGCCUCAAAUAAUUAAUUAAUUUCAUUUGGAGAUGAUCAGGAGAAGAUAUGCCCUAUGCUGCUCCUAACUGGUGGUACUUCUUUAGAGGAACAAAACAUAAUUGAAGAACAUGUACUGCCAUUUACCCCCCCCCCUACAUUUGUGAGAGUUCUUGCUAAUGCAGGAUAGUGCCAAGCCCCAUAGGGCACGUGUUGUGAAUGACUACCUGAAUGAGUUUAGAAUUGUGUGCUUGAUGUGACCAGUUCGAAGUCCAGAUUUGUUCCAAUCAAAUACAUUUGGGACCAAAAGUGACUAGUAUGACGGCAAAACAAGUCGUAACACCCCCCCUCUUAUAUGAAAGACUGUUCUUGAUGAAUGGGAAAGAAUUCAUCAGGAUUUUAUCACAAAUCUUUUCUAAGGAAUACUAAGGAACUAAUGGGAUUCGUGCCAGAAGUGGAAAUGCUCGGCAUUAAAGGGUGAAAACGUUUUACUUUUAAAUGUUUAUUUGUUUUUGUUUAUUUUUACUCAAUAAUUGUUUUUUAAGUUGAUGGAUAGGAAGUAAAUUAUCUUUUCCACAAUAGGCAUUUGUUGUGUCAGAUGAAUUUCAGCCUAAUAUAGGUCAUCUUCAGUGACUUUUUUAAAAUAAAGUAGUAUGAUGUUUUUUACAUAGUUUGGGCAUUCUUGACAGGCAACUCGCCACAUUCAUAGUCAUCCAGACACCAAAAUCAGGAUUGUCACUUCAAAAUAUUGUUUUUUAGAAAUAGGGUGUGGUGCGUUCAUUUUGUCCAUCAAUGUAUAUCACACAUACACUGAAGAUGGUGAAGUGCCGAAACACGUCUGAACCAACAAAAAUCAGUGAGGACAGGGAAACCAGAAUGAUAGGUAACUAUCAAACAAUAUAAUUUUUUCUUCUUCUUUUUCAUUUCUACUUAAAGACUAAGAGUAGUUCGUAGUAUUUUUGGAUCAUUUUGGUCUGUCAGACUUAUUUCAUUGUAUUCAUUGAUCGUUCUGGGUUUUAUUUGAUUUAUUGUGCCCUUUUAUUGGUUGGGUACAUACGUUUUUUUGCUUUUCAUAAAAAAAAGUAAAACUUUCAACAUUUAUUUUAGUUUUAGUACAAAACAUAAUUCCUAACUGCUAGCAUUCUAUAGCAUAAGUGUACUUCUGCCGUAAUAGUUCGAGAACGACAGUGAAAAUUCAUUCUUCUUUCAAAGGGUCCUUCAGCGUUUAACAUUUUUGUAAGGGAGCCACUUCUCAUCCCCAAGGAACAAAUAAGAAAUAAACCCUUCUGAUUAUUCCUCAUCAGGUGUGAAACACAAGCCAGGCAGUCUUCGUUUAUAGAAAUAAUAAAGGUGGAGUGAGUAUGUCAGUUCCUUUUUUGUAAUAAAAUCUGUGAGUAGAACUAUCAUCGACAAAAGUGCUUCCUUGUUCCUGAGAUAAUUCAUGGUGAAUCAAGUUUCACAACUCAGAUAUCGAAUUUUUCUUUUUAUUGCUGUGCAUUGUACCUGAAAUCUCUCUGAUAGUUCUGGUACAGUUAAUUUGCUCUCAGCUUCCAUUGUCAAUAAUAAAUCAUUGCUUUAUAGAUGUUCCACAUAAAGGUUGGUCUUUGAUUUGUCUCCACUACAAAAAUAUCAAAAUUACUGUUGUCUCACACAUCCAAUUACUAUUGUAUCACUAUACAUUGCACAUAAAUUUUGACAGGCAUGCCCAAGAUAGAACUCAUAUAGCAAGCAAUGCCUCAAAUGAAUGUUAUCUAUUUCCAUGUUGUACUUGUCGUAGUUUAUUCUAAACUGACUUUUAGGAUCAACUACCCUUUCUUAACAAUCUCUUUCAAUAAGACUUUUCCCACCAUAAAGCUUACAGGUCUGGCAGGAUAAUGAAUCACUUUUAUAAGGAUGAUAGUAAAAAAACUUACAUACACUCCCAAUAUAAGUUUGAUGAGAAUCUUGGCUUUGUUUUGUUGGUUUCUGUAUUAAUUUUUAGUGGCGGGUCAGAAAA
Cimex lectularius (bed bug) is the source of this 2957-nucleotide long non-coding RNA. RefSeq lists it as uncharacterized. The record is from RefSeq and is a predicted model, not a curated record. NCBI's taxonomy places the organism in Eukaryota, Metazoa, Arthropoda, Insecta, Hemiptera, Cimicidae. The transcript is spliced from 2 exons.